GAGAGUAUAGCUCAGUGAUAGAGCACAUGCUUAGCAUGCACGAUGUCCUGGGUUCAGUCCCCAGUGCCUCCA
This is a transfer RNA of Camelus ferus (Wild Bactrian camel), 72 nucleotides long. It matches the Rfam family "tRNA". Rfam says of the family: Transfer RNA (tRNA) molecules are approximately 80 nucleotides in length. Their secondary structure includes four short double-helical elements and three loops (D, anti-codon, and T loops). The record is from Rfam. NCBI's taxonomy places the organism in Eukaryota, Metazoa, Chordata, Mammalia, Artiodactyla, Camelidae.